Molecule: ribosomal RNA, 254 nt
Filed under: uncultured bacterium
Lineage: Bacteria
Description: partial 16S ribosomal RNA
Rfam family: Bacterial small subunit ribosomal RNA
Source: RNAcentral
UACGUAGGGAGCAAGCGUUGUUCGGAUUUACUGGGCGUAAAGGGCGCGUAGGCGGCAAAUUAAGUCAGCUGUGAAAUCUCCGAGCUUAACUCGGAACGGUCAGCUGAUACUGAUCUGCUAGAGUGCGGAAGGGGCAAUCGGAAUUCUUGGUGUAGCGGUGAAAUGCGUACAUAUCAAGAGGAACACCUGAGGUGAAGACGGGUUGCUGGGCCGACACUGACGCUGAGUGCGCGAAAGCCAGGGGAGCAAACGGG